This 495-nucleotide ribosomal RNA is filed under the name uncultured bacterium. Its description in RNAcentral is "partial 16S ribosomal RNA". It matches the Rfam family "Bacterial small subunit ribosomal RNA", at positions 28 to 507 of the family's 1533-position model. The record is from RNAcentral.
GACGAACGCUGGCGGCGUGCCUAAUACAUGCAAGUAGAACGCUGAAGGAGGAGCUUGCUUCUCUGGAUGAGUUGCGAACGGGUGAGUAACGCGUAUGUAACCUGCCUGGUAGCGGGGGAUAACUAUUGGAAACGAUAGCUAAUACCGCAUCAGAGUAGAUGUUGCAUGACAUUUGCUUAAAAUGUGCAAUUGCAUCACUACCAGAUGGACCUGCGUUGUAUUAUCUAGUUGGUGGGGUAACGGCUCACCAAGGCGACGAUACAUAGCCGACCUGAGAGGGUGAUCGGCCACACUGGGACUGAGACACGGCUCAGACUCCUACGGGAGGCAGCAGUAGGGAAUCUUCGGCAAUGGACGGAAGUCUGACCGAGCAACGCCGCGUGAGUGAAGAAGGUUUUCGGAUCGUAAAGCUCUGUUGUAAGAGAAGAACGAGUGUGAGAGUGGAAAGUUCACACUGUGACGGUAUCUUACCAGAAAGGGACGGCUAACUACGUG